This 497-nucleotide ribosomal RNA is filed under the name uncultured bacterium. RNAcentral describes it as "partial 16S ribosomal RNA". It matches the Rfam family "Bacterial small subunit ribosomal RNA", at positions 28 to 507 of the family's 1533-position model. The record is from RNAcentral.
GAUGAACGCUGGCGGCGUGCCUAAUACAUGCAAGUCGAGCGAACGGACGAGAAGCUUGCUUUUCUGAUGUUAGCGGCGGACGGGUGAGUAACACGUGGAUAACCUACCUAUAAGACUGGGAUAACUUCGGGAAACCGGAGCUAAUACCGGAUAAUAUUUUGAACCGCAUGGUUCAAAAGUGAAAGACGGUCUUGCUGUCACUUAUAGAUGGAUCCGCGCUGCAUUAGCUAGUUGGUAAGGUAACGGCUUACCAAGGCAACGAUGCAUAGCCGACCUGAGAGGGUGAUCGGCCACACUGGAACUGAGACACGGUCCAGACUCCUACGGGAGGCAGCAGUAGGGAAUCUUACGCAAUGGGCGAAAGCCUGACGGAGCAACGCCGCGUGAGUGAUGAAGGUCUUCGGAUCGUAAAACUCUGUUAUUAGGGAAGAACAUAUGUGUAAGUAACUGUGCACAUCUUGACGGUACCUAAUCAGAAAGCCACGGCUAACUACGUG